UCAUGUUUCUUAUAAUCAGUUUCUUUCAGGAGUACUACAGGGACUGCAGAUCCCUUCACAAUGCUCCCGCUGCUGACCAAUGAAAAGAAAUGCGAUCUCACAGUCUUCUCAUAGCUCUCCAGUGAAAUAGUUCUCUUGUACUGAAACCAAAAAAGAAUCCAGAGCAUGGCUGAAGAGUAAGAAUUCUGGGCCUGAUCACAAUUUCUGUUAGCCCUAGCCAUGUCUGGAGCUCGUUCUGCCCCCACUCCUGAGAAAAACUAGUGAAUCACAUAUCUUAUCUGCAUGCCACUCUUUACCUGCCUUGUGCUACACAGGCUGAUAUGUACGAAACUCUCAAUUAGCUCUCUUGUCCUCUGAUGUAACAUGGAUUUGGCCAAUGAAAUUUACCUCAACAGGAAUUGCACAAGGAAGCAAGAGAGUAUUCCUAUCUGCCAGGUUGUCGAAGGAGAGUGGAUGUCAGCAAGUCAAGGUUCUCCAAGUUGAAGAGUACUGAGGUCAACAAUGUCCCAAGGACAAGAAUCAGCAGCCUAGAUCUUAAAAAUCGUUUAAACAACUCUCACUUCAAGUUGAAGAACAAAUACCCAGAACACAUAUAGAUGGUGAACAUUAUUCUAUGAAGAAAAAUGAACUAAAAUAAGAGUGACGAUGAUAGUAGAACCAUUUGUGGCAUAAAGCUCAAUGGUGACGGAAUGAAACACAAAUCACUUCCUGUAUUCCACUAUCAAAACCCUUACCAGCAUCUCCAUUCUUCAUCUUUCAUCUGAGCAGCGGGUCCCUAGUAUUAUCUCCACUUGACAGAGGAAGAAAAUCAGCUUUAAGAAAGUUCAACUCCUUCAUUAGGAUAUAAGCUUUUAAAUGAUUAAAUCAGGCUUGAGCUUAUACAAUUUAACCUCUGAGACUGAUUUCUUUCUGUUUCAUUUUAAAGUUGCAUCCCAGUAUACUGCCAACAUGUGCUAAUAAAAACUGAAACAAUUAAAAGAAUAAAAUAUAAAAUUUCAUCCUAAUAAAUGUGUAACGUGAAAUAAGAUAUGUAAAUAUGUAAUGUGGGCAAAUAAGAUAUGUACAUAUGUAAUGUGAAAUAACAAAUAUGUAAUGUGAAAUUUGGUCCCAUUUUUUGAUGUUUUAGAUUGAUCUCCACCUCUUCCCUUGAUACUCCACAUCUAUAAAAGUUUAUUGGUAAACCUUCAUAUUUCUUCUUUUAAUCUCAUUGGGAAAGUCAAACCAUGCAAUGCCCUGAUCUUCUGGAACUCUCAUUCUAGCCCUAAACACUUAACUGUAAAGAAAACCCAAGUCAGUCUCGGAGUCUUCCUGUUUUGGGUCAUUUUUAGACAUUCUUGAUAGUCUUGCCCUGCAUAUUGCAGAGAUGUCCAUGUGACAUAAGGAGUAAGCCCUUCCUACGCUGUUAGUAUAUGUCAGUAUAUGAGUGUGUAACUGUGCAUCUUUGUGUGUGUAUAAUUAUCAAUUUUGAUACCCAGUUUUGGGUGCAUAUCAUCUUUCUCUGCAGGACACCUUAACAAAUGUGGUAUUUACUGUCUUCAACUUUUGAUUCAUUUCCAUAUGCACUAGUUUGAUACCCUCUCUAGUGACUUCAUUCCAUUCAUUCUAUUGAAUUCAGUCAAAUUCUUUCACCAGCAUUAACAAAUAUUGAACACAACAGGUCUUCUUUUCUGAACACUGAAAAUUAUCCCUAGGCAAAUACAGUCACAUUUCCUUCUGAUCUGGGGCUGCUUUGGCAUUCUUUUCAGAAUUAGUUUUUGCAGACAGACUUGAUUAUGUUGAGAAGAGAGAUGAAAUGUUUGUAUCUCCCUAGACUUAAGGAUUUGUUUUAGGAUAAGCAAAGAGCUACCAACAUCUCUCACCUACCCUCUGAGUACAAAAUAUGCCCAACGUACAGUUGUAUUUGGAAAUACUAAAUAAACGGAAGAAGGCUGUGUCACACAAGCCCAUCAAAGAAGCAGGGAAAAUAAAAAAUGUCAGGGGUGUACCUGAGGUGUAAACACAACUUCAGGGGUUUUACUUUUUAGUGUUGAGACCUGUGGUUUCCUAGUGAAAUUUUUUUCUCAUGAUUUGAUUAUAAAAAAUAGACAAUCAAUGAAGCAACAGUCAAACUUAUUUUUCUCAGCCAUAACUGAGUAGCACCCAUUAGGUGGACCCCCACAGGUACACUUACAUUCUUUAAAAAAUAUCAUGACAUUAAACUCUGGGUUUGACACAGUUGGCAGAAUAUCCCUUGGAAAUGUUUUGCCUUUCAGCUGCAAAAGUUGCUCUAACAAAGUGGAUGUUAGAAGAAGCUCUCGGGCACCCCUGCCUAUAUCUCUAGCUCAUUAUCUCCUCAUUACAGGGAACCUGAAGGGGAUGAAGAAAAUGCAUUCAGAAAAAUACGUUCAUGUUUUAUUGAUUGCCAGCAGAGCUCGAGUCUCUGAAUACUCACACUUUGGGAUAUUUUGUUAGGAAAAUAAGCACAGUAAGCCCUGUUUACAUGCUCUCCUCCUUGUGGUACAAUUUAAUCCAGCACAGCACAAAACUGAACAUCUUCUCCAAUUAGGUGCACAUAAGACACUUCCACAUAGGCAUAUAUUGGGACUUCCAGUGACCCAUUGCUUAUUGUCUUAGCUCACUUAUUCAAUCCCCUCUUUUGAUGAAUGAGGAAGCCAAAGUUCAGAGAGUUUAACUGGCUUGUACAUUAUCACACAGUCAUUAUUUAGAUUUCCUAUGUUUGCAUCAUCUUUUCUAAUUAUUCUAACAAAUUUAUUUAUCACAUUUCUGGAGGAAAAAAAUUAAAUAGUAGUUUUCACUUUUCCUCUAUAAAUAUAUCAGGAAGUUCAGAGCCCAUCUGGAUAAGAUAUGCUGUGAUAAUUGAGUUCCUGGCGAAUCCAGAACAUAUUAAGAGUUAACCAAUCGGGGUAGUGAUAAUGCUGGAGGUCUAUCAAGCAACCGAGUAGUGAAUGUAGCUGUGAGAGCUCAUUCUGAAAUAAAGGCACAGCUCUGCGGAAACAUGACAGUUAUCUUGAGGAAAACUGAAUUAAUUGAGUCUUAAGGGAAGAGACUGGUAGAACCAAUGAGAAAAUGGUAAUAAGCAUGGAUUUUGGAAUCAGAAAGGAUGGCUAGUGAAACUUGGGGCAAAAUAUUAAACUUUUUGAGUUUCCAUUAUUGUAUCUAUAAGUUGAAGAUAAUACCAUAUCAGACAUUACUUUAUAAGGUUCUUGGGAAAAUAUAUUAGACUAUGGAGAUGGUGACUUUUUUUUUUUUUUUUCGUUUUUUAUCGGUACCAAGGAUAGAACUCACGACUGUCUGCUUGCAAGGCAGGGGCUUAUGCCACUGAGCUAAAUCCCCAGCCCUUAUGGUGACUUUUUAUUAGAAGGCUGCUGUGUUUGUGUGUAUUGUGAGCACUUAUUGUAUAUAAAUCUACUUUUAUCCCCAUAGUAAACUAUGAAGCGCCAUUAUUUCAGUUGGCAAAGAAAAUAACUGGGACACGAAAAAGGAGCUUUCUUUUGGAAAAUCAAAUUUUUGGAUGUUUUUUAUCUUAAUUUUUGUUGCCACAAUUGUUUUGCUUUUAUUAAGACAGACUCACUCCAGAAUCCUUAAUCUUUAUUACUGUGCACAAUGUGAUAUAUUUUAAGGUCCCUUUAUUGAGACAUAGUGUCUGCUCACAACAUGAUAGCUUUUAUCAUCAUCGUCAUCAUCAUCAUCAUCAUCACCCUCAUCAAUAACUUUAUAUGAAAAAAAUAAUGAUGAUAAAGGAAAGAGAAAAUAAAGAAGUAAUUAAUGAUACUUAAGGAAUGUGUGACUUGCCUGCUCCUUAGAUCAUAUUUCCAAAAUAAAAAUAGGUACGUCCCAUUACUGGUAUAAUAAACAACACAGUAUUGUGUAGCCAGAAAACAGAUACCAAACCCUAAAUUUGAAGUUCAUGAAUGACAAUUCAUAGCAAACACUGAUGUGUCACCAAGUAAGAAGGGUUCUUUUCAUGUCCAGUUGUGCUUAAUUUGUUUUGUGUUCUCACUAGAAAUAUAGUGUUCUCCACUGGAACAAUGGGAUUACAUACUAUUUGAACAAAAAUGUUUUCAAAUACCAUGUUGUUAAUAUAAUACAUGUAUAUGAAAUAGCCUUGCAUACAGUUUACUGAUGCAUUAAAAAUGAAGUUAAUGAUUUCCAAACAGAAGAACCUAUUUGAUUCUUACAUAACAGAGUUUCAUGUGUGAUGAGAAAUGGAAGUAUCAGAAGCAUGUGAGAUUUUCUAUCUACAUGUGUUGACACUAAGAGAGUUGGAAUGUUUGACAGUCGAAAAAUGAUAAGUAGCUUUGAAGUACUGUCCUGUGGAACUCAGCUCACCAAAGGAAUUGAAAACUGACCAAGAUUCCAUCUUGAACUCAAGAGAGUUAAAAUAUAUCACGACUACUAUUGGUAAGUGUAGGGAGUGGCUCAGAAUGGCUGCCACUGUCCUGCCCCUCCCACCUGAGGGCAUUUUGAGUGUCAGCCUACAUUUCCCAUGAUCCUCCCCUUGCCUACAAUGCAAUGGUGUAAGCACCUUCUCGCUUCAGCCUACAUCUCCCACAAUCCCCUCUUGUUGACAUCACUUCCACUUACCUAUGUGUCUACCUAUGACUUCCUGCUAGCCUGAUAGGCCCAUGGCAUAUGAGGAGAUCCAAGCCAGCCCAUCCUGUAAAGCCAUAUCCCCUUUGACUCUAUAUAAGCCAUGUACACUUCCUGAAUAAAUGGGACUUGAUUGGAAUUGGU
Cavia porcellus (domestic guinea pig) is the source of this 4734-nucleotide long non-coding RNA. RefSeq lists it as uncharacterized. The record is from RefSeq and is a predicted model, not a curated record. Lineage: Eukaryota; Metazoa; Chordata; Mammalia; Rodentia; Caviidae. The transcript is spliced from 4 exons.